GCCUUCGUGGUGUAGUGGUGAGCACGCUGGAACACGUAUUCGAGAGGUCCGUGGUUCGAUUCCCGGUGACGGCA
Molecule: transfer RNA, 74 nt
Filed under: Stegodyphus mimosarum
Lineage: Eukaryota; Metazoa; Arthropoda; Arachnida; Araneae; Eresidae
Rfam family: tRNA
About the family: Transfer RNA (tRNA) molecules are approximately 80 nucleotides in length.
Source: Rfam by way of RNAcentral